Molecule: long non-coding RNA, 4038 nt
Organism: Myxocyprinus asiaticus (Chinese sucker)
Lineage: Eukaryota; Metazoa; Chordata; Actinopteri; Cypriniformes; Catostomidae
Exons: 3
Source: RefSeq, a predicted model, not a curated record
UUCAAAGUAGGGUUGCCAAGGUGUACGGUGUUACCAGUUUUACUUGGUACAAGGGACAACACCGGUGUGAAAUUUUAUACUGGGUAAAUGGGGGAAACACGUUGAAUGGAACUUCCAAUAUAGAUAUAGUAGCCUAACGAAUUGAAUAGCUUUAAAUAAAGAAUAGUUGCCUGAUGAAGAGUUUGUGACCCAUGAUAAAUGAACCUAAAUAACACAUUGAAAGCCAGAUGUUCUUUACCAACAUAUCGAAUUACACAGGCAGCAAAGUACGCACACUGACAGAAGACGUUUAUUGCAGAUAGCAUAUAUAAUGUGCAUGGUGGGUAACCGUAACACGUCUCGGAUUCAGAAUGACACAAGAAAUGCUGUUAGACACACAGACACAUGCUUGAAGAAACACACUUUAUUAUAUUUUUAAGAACAGAUGACACAAAAGCCGUCUAUGCGCAUGUCUGAUGCGCAUGUCUGAUGCGCUAUUUGUUCGGAGGCAUGCAGUCUCGUGGAACAUGCGUAUGUAAAGGGUUCUCACUCUUUCUGUUUCAGUCUUCUGAAUUUUUUUUGCAAGAAUAGUAUCAUCUAUGAGAAUUAGAACCCAACCGAUAUGGGAUUUUUGAGACCUAUACCAAUUUUAGAGGGGGAAAAUUCACAGAUUACCGAUAUGGUGGCCACUGUAGUUAAUUUUUGAGCCGGAAUAAAAACAGACCUUUUCUAUGUGGAUUGUUCACCGAUUUUGCACUGAUAUGACUAUGCAAAGUUACUCAUAAGGCUGCUUUCUUAAAUAUUUUUAUCAAAGAAUAUUUGACAUUAUUAUUAUAUAUUGUCAACAAAUUCUAGAAAUGAACACUGAGAAAAUAAAGAAUAAAUAAAAAUACAAUAAAUAGCUUAAUAAACAUCAGUACUGUAUGUUAAAUAUCAGUCUGUUGCUGUCCAUUUAAAUAAAUGAAUAAAAAUACAAUAAAUAGCUUAAUAAACAUCAGUACUGUAUGUUUAGUAUCAGUCAAUUGCUGACCAUUAAAAUAAAGAAUAAAUUCAAAUAAAAUAAAUAGCUAAAUAAACAUCAGUACUGUAUGUUCAGUAUCAGUCAAAUGCUGACCAUUAAAAUAAAGAAUAAAUUCAAAUAAAAUAAAUAGUUAAAUAAACAUCAGUACUCUUUAGUGUCAGUCAAAUGCUGACUAUUUUAAUACUGCCAGUUAAUUUGGGGCAGGUUGUAAAACAAGAAGCAUUUACACCUGCCAAGUCAGGAGAUAAACAGCGGAGCGGUGUAACACCGUAUUCUGCUAUACAAAUUCAGGGGAAACUUUCAACGGUGGAAAACCAGACUUUUAAAUAUUACAUUUUAUAAAUGCAAUGACUGGAAUUGUUCAGUUGAAGGGGGUACCAAACUGUGAAUCCUGAACAAAACAGUUUGGUGAAUACAUGUUUACACAUUAGCUUCCACUCAGCUGACAAGGUAUGAAAGUAGCUUUGUGGUUGGCUAGUUAGCUAUAAGCUCAUUGUCACGGAGAGUAAAAGAUGGAUGUUGUUUAUUUUACUUUCCAGCAUUGUGUCUCAUCAACAAGGUAACAACAUAAUGUGAAAUCAACACUCAUCAGACACAAUCCACCACCGCACUGUUGUCUGCUGAGCUGCAAAAAGAUGCUCUGAUGUUUACCUUUCAAUCUGCUACAUUACUGACUGCACUGACAAAUUAUAGCCGGCUAACAUAACAAACAGAUGUGAUAAACAUGAGUGGCAUGGUUGUCAAGGACAGGUUUAAGGUUAUAUUAGUUAUAUUGAAAAGGGAAAAUGAUGGGGUCAUUGUUUAUUAACUGUCCAGUAUGUAUUUCACAAACUAGUUAGCAACUUACUGAGAAGACACUGCUUAACACUGCACCGCUUAACUCCGCCCUGUCUACAGAGCCACCGGUAGCUCAGCUCUGUAAACAGAGUCAAAGCACGCUCUGUUGGACAAACUAUGUUUUGACACCAGUUCAAGCAUUGUUUUCUGCAUUAUAUGUUCUGAAAAAGUUUUCAUAUCUGCGCAUAUUGGUAAACACAUACGCUGAUACCGAUAUAUAUCGGUGAAAGGCUAAUACUGGCCGAUAAUAUAGGAUAAAUCGGUCGGGCACAAAUGAGAAUGCUGCAAAUGACCUCAGACCAUCUCAGCUCAGGAGGUGUUGUGAGCGCAACUCUGCUGGGUCACUUUAUAUAGGCUAUAGCUACAGUACUGUGCAAAGGUCUUAGGCACAUAAGAUGUUACACAAAAGCAUUUGUCUUAAGAUGAUUAUUUAUAUCUUCAGCUUUAGUGUGUCAAUAGGAAAUAUAAAUGUUAUAGUCCCAAACAUUACUUUUGCAAAUAGAAAAGUUUAGAAUAGAAGAACAGGGAGCCCUGCAACAGAUGUCAUGGCCCCCACAGAGCACCCCACUGAACAUCGUGUCAGUCUGAGAUUACAUAAAGAGACAGAAGCAAUUGAGACAGCCUAAAUAGAUAGAAGAACUGUGGUGCAUUCUCCAAGAAGCUUGGAACAUCCUAUCUGCCAACAACCAAGAAAAACUGUGUCCAGGUGUACCUAGGAGAAUUAGUGCUGUUUUAAAUGCAAAGCUGGCCACACCAAAUAUUGAUUUAGCUUUUUUAUGUUUACUGGACUUUGUAUGACAUUAAGUGAUAAAUGAAAACUAUUUAUGACAUUAUUUUUGAAGACAUCCUCACUAUGAAAUGUUUUUCACAAGUGCCUAAAACUUUUGCACAGUACUUGUACAUAGUUGUGAAUAAUGAAUUACACAGUCUGUUAAUGUGAUUAAUUGUUAUGUCCUGUGUUAGGAGAACUAGCAUAUAUUUCAUUUUAGUAAUUACAUUCUUUAAUCACCCCAUUUGUCAGCAUACACCAAUGCAAAGGUGUCCUUCAGCUUAGAUCUGUAUUGCCAGUUCUCACCAUAAGGUGGCAGGCUGGUACAGACUGAUUUUCUUCAUAAAUAUUUCCACAAACUUCUCAUGUCUUAUUGCAUCAGGUGUCUGAGAGCGUGCAAGAGAACAGUGUGUGCGUGAGACAUGCGAGGCAGCUCUUCUGUUAAUGCUUCAUCCUCACUCUUCUCUCACACUCAUCCUACAUGUUGUACAUGAUGAUGGUUCUGUAUCCUUAAUACCUGAAAAACAGUACAAGUUUUCAGUACCUGGCUUACCUGUGUCUGGAUAGAAACCCCUAACAUACUGUGACAUCAUGGACUGCAUCAUGAUGGACUGCAGUCUUUGUUCUUAUUUUGCAAUUCUGGUUUUGCAUCAUUAUCGAGCCACGACUUGCCGCAUAAUAAACAUAGUCAUGUUGAAUGUUCCCUCUUUUCUAUUGUCUGGCAAUAACAGGGUGUAUCCCUGAAUUGUUCAGAAGUAUGAGUCCUUAUCUAACUAACAGCUGCUGUCAUGCCUUCUGAAUGUUGCCUGUAUGGCUCUAAUGAAUCCAUUACAGGGCUGCCCAUGAGCCACCUUUUCUGUAGUGUGACAUGUGCCAUUAGCAAAGAGGGCCAGAUCAUCACUGAUCCCACGGCUCGGCAAGAGAAGGAAAGUAUUAUUAAUAUUUGCUAUUGAUAGCACUGAGCACAAUGUUUUGAUGUCAUCAACUACAGGCUCUUUUUUCAGUCCAAGAGCUGCAGCAGUGCAUAGCAAUCAGUCAAAAGGCAUCUAAACAAAUCUUUCAGUUUUAUAGGGAUUUUGUUAAACAAAACAAACUUUGUUAUUCAAAGAUACAAUAAAACACGCAUUUUAGGAUUUAUAUUUUGAGUGUGCAUUGUCAUUUCUUUGUUUAUAUUUAAUACUAAAUGUUGGAUGUUAUUAGGGCUAAACUUGUAUUAAGAAUUUUGAUGACUUAAUUAUUAUAUGCAUAAUGGCUUAUGACCCUGCUUACAUGGUUUCACCACAAAGCUUAAUUUUUGGUCUCGGAGCAGUUGCUUUCUUCAGUUCAAGAUUGUAUUUUCUAGCUAAUACUGUAUUCAUUUGCAUCAUAUGUAUGUUUUGUAUAGUAACAAUCAAGUGUCUUCUUAUGCCCUACUGGAAAUUUUUUUUUUUUA